RNAcentral lists this ribosomal RNA (876 nucleotides) under Bacillus sp. (in: firmicutes). RNAcentral's name for it is "bacterial SSU rRNA". It matches the Rfam family "Bacterial small subunit ribosomal RNA", at positions 56 to 912 of the family's 1533-position model. The record is from RNAcentral. Lineage: Bacteria; Bacillati; Bacillota; Bacilli; Caryophanales; Bacillaceae.
UGCAGUCGAGCGAAUGGAUUAAGAGCUUGCUCUUAUGAAGUUAGCGGCGGACGGGUGAGUAACACGUGGGUAACCUGCCCAUAAGACUGGGAUAACUCCGGGAAACCGGGGCUAAUACCGGAUAACAUUUUGAACCGCAUGGUUCGAAAUUGAAAGGCGGCUUCGGCUGUCACUUAUGGAUGGACCCGCGUCGCAUUAGCUAGUUGGUGAGGUAACGGCUCACCAAGGCAACGAUGCGUAGCCGACCUGAGAGGGUGAUCGGCCACACUGGGACUGAGACACGGCCCAGACUCCUACGGGAGGCAGCAGUAGGGAAUCUUCCGCAAUGGACGAAAGUCUGACGGAGCAACGCCGCGUGAGUGAUGAAGGCUUUCGGGUCGUAAAACUCUGUUGUUAGGGAAGAACAAGUGCUAGUUGAAUAAGCUGGCACCUUGACGGUACCUAACCAGAAAGCCACGGCUAACUACGUGCCAGCAGCCGCGGUAAUACGUAGGUGGCAAGCGUUAUCCGGAAUUAUUGGGCGUAAAGCGCGCGCAGGUGGUUUCUUAAGUCUGAUGUGAAAGCCCACGGCUCAACCGUGGAGGGUCAUUGGAAACUGGGAGACUUGAGUGCAGAAGAGGAAAGUGGAAUUCCAUGUGUAGCGGUGAAAUGCGUAGAGAUAUGGAGGAACACCAGUGGCGAAGGCGACUUUCUGGUCUGUAACUGACACUGAGGCGCGAAAGCGUGGGGAGCAACAGGAUUAGAUACCCUGGUAGUCCACGCCGUAUACGAUGAGUGCUAAGUGUUAGAGGGUUUCCGCCCUUUAGUGCUGAAGUUAACGCAUUAAGCACUCCGCCUGGGGGAGUACGGCGCAAUGCUGAAACUCAAAGGGAAUUG